UGUAGCGGUUAUCACGUCGCCCUGUCACGGCGAAGAUCGCGGGUUCGAUUCCCGUCGGGACCG
This 63-nucleotide transfer RNA is filed under the name Streptococcus pneumoniae GA47179. RNAcentral's name for it is "partial tRNA-Asp". It matches the Rfam family "tRNA", at positions 11 to 71 of the family's 71-position model. From Rfam's summary of the family: Transfer RNA (tRNA) molecules are approximately 80 nucleotides in length. Their secondary structure includes four short double-helical elements and three loops (D, anti-codon, and T loops). The record is from RNAcentral. Lineage: Bacteria; Bacillati; Bacillota; Bacilli; Lactobacillales; Streptococcaceae.